UACGGAGACCUCGAGCGUUACUCGGAUUUACUGGGCGUAAAGGGUCCGUAGGUGGCCAGAUGUGUCGGGUGUGAAAUCCUGCAGCUUAACUGCAGAACUGCGCUCGAAACUAUUUGGCUAGAGACUCGGAGGGGUAAGCGGAAUUCCAGGUGUAGCGGUGAAAUGCGUAGAUAUCUGGAGGAACACCAACGGCGAAGGCAGCUUACUGGACGAGAUCUGACACUGAGGGACGAAAGUGUGGGGAGCAAAAGGG
Molecule: ribosomal RNA, 253 nt
Filed under: uncultured bacterium
Lineage: Bacteria
Description: partial 16S ribosomal RNA
Rfam family: Bacterial small subunit ribosomal RNA
Source: RNAcentral